UUUAUCAAAAACAUGGCUCUUUGUAUAAUUUGUAAAUAGAGAGUCGGACCUGCCCAGUGAAAGUAUUUAACGGCCGCGGUACCCUGACCGUGCAAAGGUAGCGUAAUCAUUUGCCUUAUAAUUGAAGGCUAGUAUGAAUGGUUUGACUAGAACAAAGCUGUCUCUUUAUAAUUUAAUAAAAUUUUAUUUUUAGGUGAAGAAGCCUAAAUUUAAUUAAAAGACAAGAAGACCCUAUCGAGCUUUAAAUAAAUUAGCAAAUUACUUAAAAUAUUUAUGUAAAAAAUUAAUUGUUAAAAAUUUUGGUUGGGGCGACUAAGGAACAAUUAAAGCUUCCUUAAUAUUUAAUAAUUUACAAAUAGGGAUCCAAAUUUUUUGAUUAAAGAAAUUAGUUACCGUAGGGAUAACAGCAUUAUCUUUUUUGAGAGUUCUUAUCGAAAAAAAGGUUUGUGACCUCGAUGUUGGACCAGAAUAUCCUAAAGGUGCAGAAGUCUUUAAGGGUUGGUCUGUUCGACCAUUAAAAUUCUACGUGAUCUGAGUUCAGACCGGCGUGAGCCAGGUCAGUUUCUAUCUUUAAUUUUUAUUUUAAGUUUAGUACGAAAGGACCAACUUAUAGUAUUUAAUAUUAUGAAUGAAAUAAUUUAAUAUUUUUGUAUCAGAUUAGUACAUUUAAUACAAUUGAUUUAGAAUCAAUAGAUAUAAGUGAAAUUCUGUUAUCUGACAUCUUUAUAAAGAUGGCAGAUCGUAGAGCCUUGGGUUU
RNAcentral lists this ribosomal RNA (757 nucleotides) under Admetula emarginata. RNAcentral describes it as "partial 16S ribosomal RNA". The stretch from base 1 to 596 matches the Rfam family "Bacterial large subunit ribosomal RNA", at positions 1803 to 2925 of the family's 2925-position model. Lineage: Eukaryota; Metazoa; Mollusca; Gastropoda; Neogastropoda; Cancellariidae. The record is from RNAcentral.